UUUUUUUUUUUUUUUAAUUUGUCUUCCUCUUGAUUAGAUCUGGUUUUGUAAGAUAUUGUGGAUAAGGAUUUUUGAAUUUUGAUCAGAACGAAUGGAAUUGCGAGGUUAUCGACUACGGCUAUGGAUUUGGUUGCGCUUGGUGUCUUGUUUAGUGAUUGGCGGUUUCAAACAAUCCAACAAUUAACAUAAAGUUAGCUAGUUCUGGGUUGCUUAAUUUUUUUGCUUCACAUAAAUCUCAUAUCAGGUUGUUUUCUUCACGCUCUUCUAUGUUUGAUCUUGCUUACUAUAUUACUUUGUUGUUUGCUAUCAAUAGACUGAAUAUGUGAUGAUGACGAGAAUUCUGGAGAAGUUGAAGAACAUAAGCUUGAAGAAGCAGUUGGCCCGUUUAAAGGGAACAGAUAGUGGUAUAUAGAGAGUAACCUAGAGGAGAUGAAGUUGCAUGGUACUCUGAUGGCGAUACAUUGGUUAGGCAUGAAUACAAUUUGAUUAUAUAUAGUGUCUGAGUGAAUGUUUUCCAAGUUUUUUUGAUGUCAGAUAAAGUUUUUGUACCACAAGCAACUACUAUAGACGUUUAUGAUGUAGCUGCAAGGCCAGUAGUCAAGGCAGCUGUGGAAGGUCACAAUAUUACUCAGGGGCUGUACAGAGGUGCCAAAAACAAUGAAAUGAGGAUUGGACUUUGCUCAAGAACCAGUGAUGUUAUCGAGCCUAUGAAGAAGCUCGAAAAGAGGCUUCUCAGAAAUUUGAUAGGAAGAAGUUUGAAGUUCAAGAUCCUGUACAUUUUGUUUAACACUUGGUGCCACUUUGUUAUGUAAGACUUAUUUUGGUUAAUGUAAUAUUAAAGUUAUGUAUGUGAUUCUUUUAUAAAAUAUAAAAUAUAAAUCUAAUUAAAUAAA
Molecule: non-coding RNA, 893 nt
Organism: Camelina sativa (false flax)
Lineage: Eukaryota; Viridiplantae; Streptophyta; Magnoliopsida; Brassicales; Brassicaceae
Source: RefSeq, a predicted model, not a curated record